CUCUCUCACUAUCUCAGACAGAAGAGAAAUAAACAUGCCGCCAUUGAAAUUCUGCGAUUCACUCCACAACUACAAUCUUGAGCACCAUGUCACUAAACUGUCCUACCUUCUUCUUCUUAGAUCAGUUCUUCGUAAAACUUGAUCUCUUGUUUAAUCUCUGCAGCUGAAAACCUAGAUCCAGUAUUUUUAUUUCUAAUCUAGGGUUUCAAUCAUAAAAUGAGCAGGAGAUUUCUUUGAUUGAUCUAUAAAAGGAUGAAAAUUGAAAAGUGAGAAGAAAGGAAAUCCAGGAUUGGGUUUUACUUAUUUCAGCUAAUUUGAUUUGGGGAUUUAGGGCAGUUAUUUCAAAUAGGCACUUGGUUACAGAGAUAUGGGGUUGAGUUCAAAUUCAGAGUCGAGAAGGUUUUGAUGGUGUUGAGAACAGAUGAUGUAGCUGCAAUUGGUGACUACUUGAUCACUGGUUGAGUUUGCUUCUAAAAUUGGGGUUUGAGAUGAAUUGGUAAGGAUGAGGAUAGUGUAAAGCUGAUAUGUUUAAGCAGAGAUGAAGCUGGUGAUGGUAAUUGCAGCUGCAACUACAAAUAAGAGAACAAGAAGAAGUGACUUGAUCUUGUCACCACAGUCAGUCAAGCCCUGAUGCUGGUUGUGUAUGUGAAACUGCAGGAAUGGAAUUGAAAUUGCAGCGAAGGUGGUGGUAAUUCUGAUUUACAGAUCUGGUGAUUGAUGAAUUUGAGUUUCUAGUAAAAGUUACAGGGAAGUGGUGAUUUGAAGCUCAGGUCUGGUAUGUUGAAUUGGGUCAGAGAGCUGAUGGAAAUCUAUUACAUGGUGAAAUGGGUUGUUGAACAGAUCCUGUGAUGGAGGUCGAUGGUGUUUGAGCUCAAGGAAGAGAUGGGUUCGCCGGGGUUGAUUAAUCUGUGUAUGAGCAAUAAGUGAUGCAGGCGGUAUGAGGAGAUGGAGCUACAGGGAAUUUUGUUGUUACUCAAAUUGCAGAAGAAGAUGUGAAGUGGAGUCUUGAUGUGGCUGAGUUUUGAAUGGUUUGAGAUGGAAGCAAGCAAUGGGCAUAACUGGUGGCUAGUCAUGGUGUUGGGGUUGAGUCCUGGUAAGAAUGGGUAUGCAGAAAUGGCUAGGCAGUGGUGGACCUCAACUGCAUCGGCUAUGUGCAUAAGGGUAUGUAGGUGGUAGAAGCUGAAAUGUUGUUGCUGCUCUAAGUUUUGAUGGAGCUGUUAAACUCAGCAGUGGGUUCCAGGUUUGAGCAGUGGAUGCAGCUGAGGUUUGUGAGAAGAUGGCUUUGCAGUCAUAUUGCAGCUACAGCUGUAGUGACUCUGAUGUGAUGCUGUAGUUAGUUAGCUGAAGACCUGGUGAAAUAGAUGAGUAUUGUACUAAAACCAGGAAGUUUUUGCAAGUCAGUGUUCUUAAAAAUUUACGUUAUCUCUAAUUGUCAUCAAUUGCACGGUAGAGAUAAGUCAUGGUGCACCAAGUUUCAGAUACUGAUUAACGAACCUGUACCAGGUAAUCCACUGUAAACCAUACACACUUGAAAAUAUAAUUGGCCGACUUUAGGAGGACUUCUACACGAUGACAGAUGACUUAACUGUUAUGUGUCGGUCACAAAGUUUGUCCCAGGAAAUAGAAAUCAUUUUUUUAUCUCAUAAUUGCAUGAAAUUAAGAUGAGAUUUGACUGAAUCCGUUUAAUUGAUGAACAAUUUCAUUUAGAUACAAUCAGAUAAACAGUUCUGUACCAAGAUUGUCAUACACCGAGUAUAAUAAUGAUUCAUAAAUUCAUGGAAUUGAUGAAUUUAAUUUUCGUUCUAGGUUAUAGUUUAUUUGGCCUUAUUUGAAGCACUUAACAUUUGUAUACGAUGCUUAGUUUUAGGAUUUUAAAGAGGUUUUGACUAGUGUUAAGUGUUAAUACAAGGUUUUAUAGUAAUGAGUCCUCAUAAUAUUAUAAUUUCACUACCUGGGUUUUGUGUUUGUAGAGGUUGAGUUUAAGAAGUUGAAGGGCAGGUUGAGUUUGGAAGGGAACUGCCUUUGGUGGUAACAAGAUUUCUUUGUUAAGUUGGGUUAUGUAAAUUUUACAAUGCAAUAUAAAAAGAUAUGCCUUUUGGUCAGAGGUUGUAACAACAUUUCAUUGUUAAGUUAUUUCUGAGUGUUCACCUGAUUACUUUUACAACUAUGCCCAAAUUUAAUUUUGCGGGUCUGACAUGCUCUGGCAAUUGCUUUAUUCUACUCUUCACUUACGUGUUGGUUGCGUGUUUUAUUGAUACAGUACCAGGCGAUUCAGUGAAACACUUCAUUAGAGUGGACUUACCUGUGCCUGCACUCACCAAUCCAAGGCAUAACAAUGCGAUUCAGUGAAACACUUCAUUAGAGUGGACUUACCUGUGCCUGCACUUACCAAUCCAAGGUAUAACAACAGUCUAUUUCUUUUCUGUUUUCUGGAAAAGAUCUGAGUGUUUCCAACUGAUUAGCUGCUAGAAAAGCAAUAUACCAAUGACAAGUCUUUGGCGAUGUGGAUAAUCUCAAAGUGUGAGAGGCCAUGACACCGUGUCGAGCUUAACACGUGAUGUAGUGUACGAUAUAGCAGAAGCAUACCUAGAAGAAAGGGAACGUCGACACCGUAAUCGUUGACGUAUUAUGGGAAUUUAGUCUUGAAUAUGGCAUUUCAGUCUAAGAUGGUAUGUUUGAGAUUUUUAGCUAGGGAAUAAAAGAAUAUGUCGCUACUUAUGGCAUGAAUUCAUAUUUGAUUAGAUUUUCAGUAUCCGUAGCUUUAUUUUCUAGGUUUUGGUUUAGGAGUUUUGAAGCCUAUAUAUAAAGGCUGUCUCGUCUAAAUGUAAAGACAUUGAAUCAGAGAUUAAUAAAAUCACUUCUUAUUGAGAAGUUUAUAAA
Molecule: long non-coding RNA, 2880 nt
Organism: Papaver somniferum (opium poppy)
Lineage: Eukaryota; Viridiplantae; Streptophyta; Magnoliopsida; Ranunculales; Papaveraceae
Exons: 3
Source: RefSeq, a predicted model, not a curated record